AUGCGCUGCGGGGGCUGUCGACCGCGCUGCACCCCCGCUCCCCUGCCCGGCCCCGGGGCUCGAGAGCCACUUACCGCUCGGCCCGGCUUCCCGGUGCCGCCGCGCGUCCGGGGUGGGUCCGCCGCGCGCUCUCCCUGGGGAGAAAGAGAAACCGUGUGGACUGUCGGCGCGCGCUCACUCGCCGCCUCCUCUGCGGAGAACCGCGGGCGGCGAGGCCGGGCCGGGGCGGGCGCCGAGCGGAGGGGGGCCCGGGGGAGGUGGGGGCGGAAUCUGCCCAACUCCCGAGCCCAGCUCCGAGGAGGACCCGGAAGGCAGGCUGGAGAGCAGCCGGCGGGGGCCGCGCUCCUGGAGUGGGGGACGAGGGUGCCCCCCGUCCCCGAGCAUCAACUAUUGUCUGGGCGUCCGGGUCCCCGCUCGCGCCGCCUCCGAGGCUCAGCGCCCCCCAUCCCACCCGCCUGCCCCCAGGAGAAAAAGCUGGGGGGGCGGGUAAAGCGUGUUUGGGGUGGCUGGGGGUUCGGGAUCCGGAGGUCGGAGGGGGGCGCAGAGAAAGGGGAGGUGCGUGCUGAGUGGGGGAGGGGACAGGUAACUGCCGACGGGGGUGGGAAGGCCCGGGAGGACCGGUGGGGAAGGAAAUGGGGAGGGAGCCACGGAGGCGGGAAGGGAUGCAGUGGCUGGGGGGCGGCCUCUGAAGCCCAGACCUGGCCCUCCCCGGGGACCCUCCUCCCGGGAAGUCGGCGCCGCACUGACUUUUUCGCUCACUCGCUCACGCACGCACUGAACUCGCUCACAAAGUUGCCGGCGGUGGCGGCGCCGCACUCGCCCUUCCCUCCUCCACUCCCCUCGCCUCCCCGCCUCCCCGCCCCAUUCCUUCCCCUCCUCCUCUCCCUCCCUCCGCAAGUCUCGGGUGAGAUCACCGCUGGGCUGCUUAGCAGAGCGCGUAAAUCUCGCGAGAGAAGCGGCAGCUCAGCCCGGCCCGCGAGGGAAGUAGGAGUUGGUGGAAGGUGGGCGACCGCGGAACUCCUAGUUGCUAUGACGACGGCAAAGCCCUGGAUUCCUGUCUCCUGCAGAGAGCCAAGGCAGUAA
RNAcentral lists this long non-coding RNA (1083 nucleotides) under Ailuropoda melanoleuca (giant panda). Its description in RNAcentral is "lncRNA (ENSAMEG00000028560.1)". Lineage: Eukaryota; Metazoa; Chordata; Mammalia; Carnivora; Ursidae. The record is from RNAcentral.